GAAACUACUAGAGAAGCAAAUUCCCGGAGACAAACCUCACUAUGGAGAGCGAAAGCCAGAAUUUGGAGCUGAAGCAUCUAGGUUUUGUUAGGAUCGCUGUGAUUCAGACGAUUGUUUGUGUUACGAAUCUGUAUGAUUACGCGAAGCAGAACUCUGGACCUCUGAGAUCUGCGGUUGAAAGUGUGGAGAGCGCUGUUAACACCGUUGUAACUCCUGCUUAUGAGAAGCUUCGAAUCGCGCCUGAUGAUGUUCUUGUUUUUCUUGACGAGAAGGUUGACAAAGCUACACAUGAGUUUGAUAAGCGUGCUCCUCCUCUAGCAAAACAAGCCGUUCAAAUUACGCAGCAUUUAAUUCAAAAAGCUGCUAGAACUGGACAAGAACUUG
RNAcentral lists this unclassified non-coding RNA (384 nucleotides) under Hevea brasiliensis (rubber tree). Lineage: Eukaryota; Viridiplantae; Streptophyta; Magnoliopsida; Malpighiales; Euphorbiaceae. The record is from RNAcentral.